Molecule: ribosomal RNA, 380 nt
Filed under: uncultured bacterium
Lineage: Bacteria
Description: bacterial SSU rRNA
Rfam family: Bacterial small subunit ribosomal RNA
Source: RNAcentral
AUUGAACGCUGGCGGCAGGCCCAACACAUGCAAGUCGAGCGGGGUUUUCGGACCUAGCGGCGGACGGGUGAGUAAUGCGUAGGAAGCUACUCGAUAGAGGGGGAUACCAGUUGGAAACGACUGUUAAUACCGCAUAAUGUCUACGGACCAAAGUGUGGGACCUUCGGGCCACAUGCUAUCGGAUGCGCCUACGUGGGAUUAGCUAGUUGGUGAGGUAAUGGCUCACCAAGGCGACGAUCUCUAGCUGGUUUGAGAGGAUGAUCAGCCACACUGGAACUGAGACACGGUCCAGACUCCUACGGGAGGCAGCAGUGGGGAAUAUUGGACAAUGGGCGAAAGCCUGAUCCAGCCAUGCCGCGUGUGUGAAGAAGGUCUUCGGA